AUUCUAUUCUCUCAAGAUUUCUCUAUUUUUCUGUGAUGGUUAAUAUUGUGUCAAAUCGAUUGGAUUGAAGGCGAGGUUAAUUAAAUCCUGUUGUGGGGGUUGAGGGCCGGAAUUUAAUUUUUGGAGUUUUAUUUAAUGUCGGUAGCAGAUUGGUGAAGGAGGCAAGCCCUGAGAAAAGAGUAGAGACACGGAGAAGGGGUGGGGGGUUCUUGCCCUCCAGAAAAGCAGAGAAGGGGUUGGGGCACGGAAAUAAGAGGUCAGGGUGCAGAAAUAAGGGAUUGGGGCACAGAGAUGAGGUUGGGGUGCGGAAAUAAGCGAUUGGGGGGUUCUUGCCCCCUAGGAAAGCGGGACUUGCCGCUGAGGGUGAAGGAGAAGGGUUUGAGGGGUACUUGCCCCUGCCCCAGGAAAAUGGGACUUGCCGCUAAGGGUGAACGAGAAGGGGUUGAGGGGUACUUGCCCCUGCCCCAGGAAAGCGGGACUUGCCGCUGAGGAUGAAGGAGAAGGGGUUGAGGGGUAC
RNAcentral lists this long non-coding RNA (517 nucleotides) under Homo sapiens (human). RNAcentral describes it as "non-protein coding lnc-NAA35-10:1". The record is from RNAcentral. Lineage: Eukaryota; Metazoa; Chordata; Mammalia; Primates; Hominidae.